Molecule: ribosomal RNA, 253 nt
Filed under: uncultured bacterium
Lineage: Bacteria
Description: partial 16S ribosomal RNA
Rfam family: Bacterial small subunit ribosomal RNA
Source: RNAcentral
UACGUAGGGUGCAAGCGUUGUCCGGAUUUAUUGGGUUUAAAGGGUGCGCAGGCGGUCAGAUAAGUUAGUGGUGAAAUCGUCCCGCUCAACGGGAUACACGCCAUUGAUACUGUCCGGCUUGAGUGUGACAGAGGGACUUGGAAUGCGUGGUGUAGCGGUGAAAUGCAUAGAUAUCACGCAGAACACCGAUUGCGAAGGCAGAGUUCUAUGUCAUGACUGACGCUGAGGCACGAAAGCGUGGGUAGCGAACAGG